GAUGAAGAACGUAGCAAAAUGCGAUAAGUAAUGUGAAUUGCAGAAUUCAGUGAAUCAUCGAAUCUUUGAACGCACAUUGCGCCCGCCAGUAUUCUGGCGGGCAUGCCUGUUCGAGCGUCAUUUCAACCCUCAGCACAGCUUGGUGUUGGGACUCGCGUUAAUUCGCGUUCCCCAAAUUGAUUGGCGGUCACGUCGAGCUUCCAUAGCGUAGUAGUAAAACCCUCGUUACUGGUAAUCGUCGCGGCCACGCCGUUAAACCCCAACUUCUGAAUGUUGACCUCGGAUCAGGUAGGAAUACCCGCUGAACUUAAGCAUAUCAAUAAGCGGAGGA
RNAcentral lists this unclassified non-coding RNA (331 nucleotides) under soil metagenome. Its description in RNAcentral is "partial contains 5.8S ribosomal RNA, internal transcribed spacer 2, and large subunit ribosomal RNA". The stretch from base 1 to 120 matches the Rfam family "5.8S ribosomal RNA", at positions 35 to 154 of the family's 154-position model. The record is from RNAcentral.